GGUGGUUCAUGGCCUCAUACUAUAAUUGUAUGGUUGGUAAUUUUUAUUAUUCAAUUCCUCUAAUCAUAUCUUCUAAUAAACGACUUGUAUAUAUAUACAAGGCUAAGGUUUUUUUUCAAGUCAAAUAACACAGAAGAAAACAAAUAAGUCAAAUAACAUAAAAAGGACCAUUUAGUGGGAAUAUUAACAUAGCAUAUACUGUAUUUGACAUUUUAUAGUCUACUUUUAUUCUGAAAACAAGACAAAAACAAAAACAAAACAAAAAAAAAGACUCAGGAAAACACAAUUCUGCUCAUUUGAAAUAGUUCAUUCUCUCUCUUAUCACACCUCUAUUUUUGAGAGAGAGAAAGAGAUUUCCGGUACACCGGAAUUUUGUCAUAUAAUAUAAUUUCCGGCUAAGAUUCGGAUCUUUGUACCGGCUAAGUCCGGUUUUAUUUCUCGUUUUAGCGAGAUAAGAUCUCUCAUCCAGUUAUGUUAUUUUCCCGUUGAUUUCUCCGAUAAUCACUUCCAAAUUUUCUUUGUUUCUUCAGCUAUUCGAGGAGUAAUAUCUUCGUCACUUUUAUUUUGCUCAUUUCAUAAGAGCAAAGCAAAGUAUUACAUCAAAAUCUGGAUGUAAUCGGUGGUGGAGCUUCCCCGGAGUUGAUGAUACUCGAAGAAAAUUUGAAGAAGUUUAAUAUACUUGAUCCGGUAGACUUCGACGUAUCCUUUGAUUGGAUUUGAGAUCGGCAGAAGAUAAGAGGAUUCUCAUCAUCCUCGGGUUAUUUGGUGGUGGCUAAUCGAAUGCCGGUGAUGCUUGAGAAGAACAGACGGUGGAGACGUGGAACUGCUUCAAUUUGAUGCGUGGCUUAGAGGAGGUGCUUCAUCUCCACGUGUCUUAUGCUAAACCAUCAAAGUUUUAUUAUCUUUUGUAUUUUGUAAUAUGGUUUAGUUUGGGCCUUUUAAAUCUCGUGUGUAAUCCUCUAGUUUAACUCUUCCGUAUUUGCAUGCCCACUGGGCUUAAGUAAUAAAACUUUUGGACGAAAAAAAAAAAAAAAAAAAAAAACACAAUUCUUGUCUUCUUUUUAUCGUUCCCCCAAAAGGAACGCAUUAAACUAGUCAACUCCUGCAAAUGCAAUUGCGGUAUUGUUAAGGAAACAGAUUCCAUUUCUCUUAGCUAAUCUAAUAAU
This 1166-nucleotide long non-coding RNA is filed under the name Capsella rubella. RNAcentral's name for it is "long non-coding RNA (CRUB_LNC001247)". Lineage: Eukaryota; Viridiplantae; Streptophyta; Magnoliopsida; Brassicales; Brassicaceae. The record is from RNAcentral.